AAAGUCGUAACAAGGUUUCCGUAGGUGAACCUGCGGAAGGAUCAUUAUUGAAUAAACUGGGUGGGUUGUUGCUGUCCCUCUCGGGGGAACUGUGCACGCCUUACCUUUUUUGUUUUUCCACCUGUGAACACACUGUAGGUCUGGAGGGAAGGGAAGCAAUUCCUUGACGUUCAGGUCCUAUGCUUUAUACAUAUACACUAUUGAAAGUAACAGAACGAUUCAAUGGGCUCUAAGCCUAUAAACUAUAUACAACUUUCAGCAACGGAUCUCUUGGCUCUC
Molecule: unclassified non-coding RNA, 279 nt
Filed under: Basidiomycota sp.
Lineage: Eukaryota; Fungi; Basidiomycota
Description: partial contains small subunit ribosomal RNA, internal transcribed spacer 1, and 5.8S ribosomal RNA
Rfam family: Eukaryotic small subunit ribosomal RNA (bases 1-47)
Source: RNAcentral